AUGCCUAGCGACAAGGCGCCUGGGCCAGAUGGCUUCACCGGCCUCUUCUUCAAAAAGUGUUGGGACAUCAUCAAGCACGACCUCAUGAGGGUGAUUCAACGCUUUGACUCCCUCCACACAACAAACCUACACUGGCUCAACUCUGCAAAUAUUGUGUUGCUUCCCAAGAAGGAUGGGGCGGAGAGCAUCGUCGACUUUCGGCCCAUUAGCCUCAUCCAUGCAAUCGCCAAGAUCAUCGCGAAGGUGCUCGCUAUCCGGCUUGGCCCGCACAUGUCCGCCCUCGUCUCCAACGCUCAAAGUGCGUUCAUCAAAACGCGGAGCAUCCACGACAACUUCAUGUAUGUUAGAAACCUUGCGCGACGCUUGCACAAGAGCAAGACUCCAUCUCUCCUUUUCAAGCUGGACAUCCGCAAGGCAUUUGACUCUGUCAAAUGGGAGUACUUGCUUGACCUCCUACGGAGGCGAGGUUUCCCAAGCAAAUUUCGAGAGUGGAUUGCGGCUCUGCUAUGCUCCUCAUCUUCGAGGAUCCUCUUGAAUGGGGUAGCUGGUACCCCCAUCAAGCAUGGCCAGGGACUACGGCAAGGGGACCCAGUCUCUCCCCUCCUUUUUGUGAUAGCUAUUGACCCAUUG
Molecule: ribosomal RNA, 630 nt
Filed under: Triticum aestivum (bread wheat)
Lineage: Eukaryota; Viridiplantae; Streptophyta; Magnoliopsida; Poales; Poaceae
Description: partial small subunit ribosomal RNA
Source: RNAcentral